GGGAAUGUGGCUUAGUGGUAGAGUGCUUUCCUAGUAUGGAUGAAGCCAUGGGUUCUAUCCUUCAGUACCA
RNAcentral lists this transfer RNA (70 nucleotides) under Dipodomys ordii (Ord's kangaroo rat). It matches the Rfam family "tRNA". Rfam says of the family: Transfer RNA (tRNA) molecules are approximately 80 nucleotides in length. Their secondary structure includes four short double-helical elements and three loops (D, anti-codon, and T loops). Lineage: Eukaryota; Metazoa; Chordata; Mammalia; Rodentia; Heteromyidae. The record is from Rfam by way of RNAcentral.